GAAAAGAUGCAGUGUGGCUGAUGGGCAGGACACAUGCAGCCCCAAGCGAUCUUGAGUCAGAUUGGAGAUCAUUUGCAAGAAACAUGUCCAGGUCAAAGAAAGAGAAAGGACCACUGAUGUGCUGAAGUCCCUACUUAGCAUUCAGGAGAAGCAAACUGGGGGCAGAAUAGGCUGCUCCCGUUCAGGUUGGCUAGCAAACCACGAUGACGUCGAAAGGAAGAACGGUUCAGCGUGACAUCAUGCAAAGGAGGCAUUUUAUGGCACAGGAUUGCAGUCAUUGGUGCAAGGACAUAAGUGGCCUUGGAAA
Ahaetulla prasina is the source of this 307-nucleotide long non-coding RNA. RefSeq lists it as uncharacterized. NCBI's taxonomy places the organism in Eukaryota, Metazoa, Chordata, Lepidosauria, Squamata, Colubridae. The transcript has 3 exons. The record is from RefSeq and is a predicted model, not a curated record.